UACGUAGGGUGCAAGCGUUGUCCGGAAUUAUUGGGCGUAAAGAGCUCGUAGGCGGUUUGUCGCGUCUGCUGUGAAAACCCGAGGCUCAACCUCGGGCCUGCAGUGGGUACGGGCAGACUAGAGUGCGGUAGGGGGAGAUUGGAAUUCCUGGUGUAGCGGUGGAAUGCGCAGAUAUCAGGAGGAACACCGGUGGCGAAGGCGGGGUCUCUGGGGCCGUAACUGACGCUGAGGAGCGAAAAGCAUGGGGAGCGAACAG
This 256-nucleotide ribosomal RNA is filed under the name uncultured bacterium. RNAcentral's name for it is "partial 16S ribosomal RNA". It matches the Rfam family "Bacterial small subunit ribosomal RNA", at positions 524 to 775 of the family's 1533-position model. The record is from RNAcentral.